RNAcentral lists this ribosomal RNA (472 nucleotides) under uncultured bacterium. Its description in RNAcentral is "bacterial SSU rRNA". It matches the Rfam family "Bacterial small subunit ribosomal RNA", at positions 355 to 825 of the family's 1533-position model. The record is from RNAcentral.
UGGGGAAUAUUGGACAAUAGGCGAAAGCCUGAUCCAGCCAUGCCGCGUGUGUGAAGAAGGUCUUCGGAUUGUAAAGCACUUUAAGUUGGGAGGAAGGGCAGUUACCUAAUACGUAUCUGUUUUGACGUUACCGACAGAAUAAGCACCGGCUAACUCUGUGCCAGCAGCCGCGGUAAUACAGAGGGUGCAAGCGUUAAUCGGAAUUACUGGGCGUAAAGCGCGCGUAGGUGGUUAGUUAAGUUGGAUGUGAAAUCCCCGGGCUCAACCUGGGAACUGCAUUCAAAACUGACAAGCUAGAGUAUGGUAGAGGGUGGUGGAAUUUCCUGUGUAGCGGUGAAAUGCGUAGAUAUAGGAAGGAACACCAGUGGCGAAGGCGACCACCUGGACUGAUACUGACACUGAGGUGCGAAAGCGUGGGGAGCAAACAGGAUUAGAUACCCCCGUAGUCCCUGAGCGGGCUGGCAAGGCGCAU